This is a long non-coding RNA of Nicotiana tabacum (common tobacco), 539 nucleotides long. RefSeq lists it as uncharacterized. The record is from RefSeq and is a predicted model, not a curated record. NCBI's taxonomy places the organism in Eukaryota, Viridiplantae, Streptophyta, Magnoliopsida, Solanales, Solanaceae.
GGAAAUUUUCUAACUUUAUAAUGUUUAAUCCAAAACAAAACACUAUUACGAAGGCUGUCUUCUCUAAGAACCCUACCAAUCUCUCCCAUUUCCUCAACUCCAAUUAGGCGUCCCCCGUUUUAUGUUCACUAAACCGCCGAGGUCGCCAUAUGGUGCAGAGAAUUGAAAGGGAAAACUACAUGGGUGUUAGAUUGUCCUAGAAUUCUAAACACGACAGAAGGUUACCAAAAUUUAGGCCGCCUUUUACACACAAUCAACUGCCAUAUUUAAUCUAUUCUCUACAUCUGGUUGAAGAUAUUAAGAUUUUGUUGUUGGAAGAAGAGUUUAGAGGAAUGUGAGAGCAACUAAUUCAAAGGAAUCCUCGACUUGAGGAAAACAUGAACACUAAAGUUAAAACUAUGACCGACGAUGAUUGUUUUGGAACUUUCAAGGGAAAGUUUAUGUAAUUGAAUGUUGAAGUAACUAUGUGUUUGAUUCAAGUUGUUUGUACUGUACUGGGAAUUCAAGUAUUGGAAUGAGCGUCAAUGUUACUUUGAAUA